UACCCCGUGGUGUAAUGGUAACACAACGGCCUUUGGAGUCGUUAUUCCUGGUUCGAGUCCAGGCGGGGUAG
RNAcentral lists this transfer RNA (71 nucleotides) under Planctomycetota bacterium. Its description in RNAcentral is "Planctomycetes bacterium (groundwater metagenome) tRNA-Gln". It matches the Rfam family "tRNA". Rfam says of the family: Transfer RNA (tRNA) molecules are approximately 80 nucleotides in length. Their secondary structure includes four short double-helical elements and three loops (D, anti-codon, and T loops). Lineage: Bacteria; Pseudomonadati; Planctomycetota. The record is from RNAcentral. RNAcentral also lists the same sequence under 1 other name.